AGACCUGCUCAACCGCCAUAUUCUGGAUGAUACCUUGUGUGCCGGGAAGGUGGUGUCCUCAGGGAAUGGUAUGACUGCUUGGGAUUCAUGGACCCGGCACUGUUCUGGCCAUGAUUUAUCUGAAUGGCUCAAGGAAUGCAAUAUGCAUGACAAAGCUGUCUCAAAGAAAACUAAUAAUUCAUGAUUCAGUUUCCCAGAAGUAGAAAUUUUCUUUUCCUUUCUUUUCUUUCUUCUGUGGAUUUAAUAAAGAACGGUACCUAUAAGCAAUGCAAGA
This is a non-coding RNA of Leptonychotes weddellii (Weddell seal), 274 nucleotides long. NCBI's taxonomy places the organism in Eukaryota, Metazoa, Chordata, Mammalia, Carnivora, Phocidae. The record is from RefSeq and is a predicted model, not a curated record.